AAAUCUGUUCGUCUGCACGUUCAUUUCCCAGACCUGCGCAGCAACCAGACACUGGGGUUGAUUAUAAGAUUGAAUCUAAUACACACACACACUGGAACACAUUUCAGUGUUAUUCAGACUUUUAUCAGUGACAGUUGCAAAAACUUCAUCCGUCAUCAUUUGGGGGUACAUCAGUGCCCAUGGCAUGUGUGACUUACAGACGUCUGAAGGUGAGCCAUAUAUAUUGUACAUAGACAUUUGAUGCCAUCAAAAUGACAUGUUUUCCCAGGAAUCCCAAGGUUAUAAGAGCCAGACAAAGCCAGGUGUCCUUCUGCAUGUGCUUCAACACUGGGGUUUCAUAGACACAAAGUGAAUGUGCAGACCAGAUCUGUCUCCUACUCCAAAUGUAUGGUCCAUCAUGAAGAGAAGAAUAAGACCAUGAUGAUGACCACAGACUGUUGAGCAGCUGAAGUCUUUUAUCAAGAAAUCAGAGUUUGGCAGCGAAAUCAGGCCAUGGAGGAUAAAAAUAACUCCAGUGAUCUCAUCAUCUCUACCACAUCAACUGAUAUGCUUUACUAUGACAAUGAAACACCUUCUCAUCCACCCUAUUAUUUUCAUGCAGUCAGACUGUCCAUCUUCUUGAUCACUGCUGUUUGUCUGGGACUGCCAUGUCUGAUUUGGGCUUUUUAUUUUGUGCACCUUCAGAGAAAGACCAGAGGCCGGAUCUCAGCCUUCGUCAUCCUCCUCCUCCUCAGUGACCUGUUGCAACUGCUCCUGUAUCCAUUCAUAGUGUCAGCACUUCUUUCUUUCCAUGGCUUUAACAUGAUUUUUAUAAUGGCUGUAACAUUUUGUCUGAAAAUCUGUAGCGUUCACCUGCAGCAGCUGGUGGCUCUGGAGGGGGUCCUGACCCUCAAAUAUCCACAGAUCUCUGCUCGUAUCUUCUCAUCCCCGUUACAUCAUAAUCUCCAUCAUUAUACUUCUUUUCUCUUUGAUGUGUGUAUUGUUACUGGGUUUUGGUGGCCCUAAUGGUGGGAGCCUGGGUUUUGGCUCAGUUCUGGCACCUGUGUUUUUAUUGGUUGUCACAGGGAUGAUCACCUACAAGGCUCCGCCCACUCCUGCCAGCACACCUGCCACUGACAACAGACCAGGCUCGUCGUUGAUUCAUGUUACCAUUUUUACUGUAGGUGUGCUUUAUUUACCUUGUGUGCUGGUCCACUGUGUGAAGAUGCUCCAUGUUUUCCAGCCAGUGUCUUGGUCCGUGAUGUCUCUCUGUUUGUUGAGUCUGACAGUGAUUUCAGAGCCUCUCCUGUGUGUGCUGGUCUGCAGAGAGACUCUCAGCACUCAGACAAAACACACUCACACAGAGUUCAGCUCUCAGCAGACAGCAGUCUGAACUCAUUGUCAUCAGUUGCUUUGACUUUGACUGCAAAAUAUGCUUAUUAAUAUUAAUAAAUGCAGAGAGCCGGUUGCUAAAAAUGGAGACAAGUGGAGAGUAAAUGGAAAAAAAGACAGACUCCAAAGUCUGUGCACUUUUGCAAAAAAAGAAAAAAUAAAGAAUGGUUGUUAUACUCCAAACUUACAUCUCUGUUUGAUUGCCUGGAUGAAAUAAAAGACUGGAUGUCAUCGCGUUUCCUGCAGCGUAAUGAGUCAAAUCUGAAGAGGUGAUCUUUGGUCUGUCGGCGUUAACCCAACAGAUUUCAUCUUGGGCCAUUAGCUCCCAAUCUUAAGAUUCAGGUGAGGAACCUAGAUGUGAUUUCUGACUGAUUAACACAUUAAAGCCGUGGUAAAAGUUAGCUUUUUCAAUUGAGGGGCAUUGCCAAACUGAAAAGUUUCUUGUCUUUUAAAGAUAGUGAACCGUGAUUCAUGUGUUUAUUUGAUCCAGACUGGAUUACUGUUACUCUUUAUUUCUGGGAUGUCUUGAUACAGCUGAUGCAAACUGCAGUGGCCAAAGAACAUGCUCCAGUAUCUCUCCAGCACUGGCUUCCUGUUGAUUUUAGAGAUCAAUAAAAGGUUUUAUUAAAGGUUUUUAAAGGUCUAUCUCCAGUCUGUUACAGCAUCAUAAUCCUGCUACUCAUUUAAGAUCAUCUCAGAGUUUCCUCUUAAAUGCCAUGCCUACGCACUACUUAAAAUCAAUGCUGAAGACGCACCUCUACUCUGCUGAAAACAAUCAUCCUUAAGUGCACGGACAAUGAAGAAUGAUAUAUGUAUAUGUGUUUUGUAAUUUUGGGAGAGUCAAGUCAAGUCACCUUUAUUUAUAAAGCGCUUUAGACAACACAGAUUGUGUCACAUUGGCUUUACAGUGUUAAACAGGAAAAACGUGUGCUGAUAAUGCAAGGGUGCAAUAGAAAAGUUUAUG
Carassius gibelio (silver crucian carp) is the source of this 2335-nucleotide long non-coding RNA. RefSeq lists it as uncharacterized. The record is from RefSeq and is a predicted model, not a curated record. NCBI's taxonomy places the organism in Eukaryota, Metazoa, Chordata, Actinopteri, Cypriniformes, Cyprinidae. The transcript has 3 exons.